RNAcentral lists this ribosomal RNA (446 nucleotides) under Labrys sp. EPML210. Its description in RNAcentral is "bacterial SSU rRNA". It matches the Rfam family "Bacterial small subunit ribosomal RNA", at positions 1 to 497 of the family's 1533-position model. Lineage: Bacteria; Pseudomonadati; Pseudomonadota; Alphaproteobacteria; Hyphomicrobiales; Xanthobacteraceae. The record is from RNAcentral.
GUAUGAGUUUGAUCCUGGCUCAGAACGAACGCUGGCGGCAGGCUUAACACAUGCAAGUCGAGCGCAUCCUUCGGGGUGAGCGGCAGACGGGUGAGUAACGCGUGGGGAUGUACCCAGAGGUGUGGAAUAACUGUGGGAAACUACAGCUAAUACCGCAUACGCCCUUCGGGGGAAAGAUUUAUUGCCUUUGGAUCAACCCGCGUCAGAUUAGCUAGUUGGUAGGGUAACGGCCUACCAAGGCGACGAUCUGUAGCUGGUCUGAGAGGAUGACCAGCCACACUGGGACUGAGACACGGCCCAGACUCCUACGGGAGGCAGCAGUGGGGAAUAUUGGACAAUGGGCGCAAGCCUGAUCCAGCCAUGCCGCGUGAGUGAUGACGGCCUUAGGGUUGUAAAGCUCUUUUAACAGGGACGAUAAUGACGGUACCUGUAGAAUAAGCCCCGGC